AUAUAAAUAAAUUUUUUAUGAUUUAGGAAGUUUAAUUUAAAUUUAUUUUACAUAUAAAUUUUAGUAUGAAUUUUUAAUUAUUUUAAUAAUUUUUAAAAAUUAAAUUAUAGUAAUUAAUAUUAAAAAUUUAAGAAAUUAAGAUUUAGUAAUAUUUAAAAUUAUUAACAAAUUUUGUGCCAGCAGUUGCGGUUAAACAAAAAAUAAUUUAAAUUUUAUUAGUAAAUAAUAAAUAUUAGUAUAAAUGAAAUUAAAUAUUAAUUUAUUAGGUGAAAUUUUAAUUUAAUUAAAAUUUUAUUUUGUAAUAUGAUUUAUUAAAUUUUAUAAAAAACUAGAAUUAGAUACUCUAUUAUUAAAAAUUAAAUAAAUAAUACUAAAAUAGUAUGUAAUUAUUUAUAGAAACUUAAAUAAUUUGGCGGUAUUUUAGUUCAUUUAGAGGAAUCUGUUUAAUAAUUGAUAAUCCACGAAUAAAUUUACUUAAUUUAAAAAUUUUGUAUAUCGUUGUUAAAAAAAUAUUUUUUAAUAAAAAUAAUAUUUAAGAAUUUUUAUAAUAAAUUAAUUCAGAUCAAGAUGCAGAUUAUAAUUAAGAAUAUAAUGGAUUACAAUAAGAAAUGAUUAAAUGAAUAAUAUAUUUUAAUAUAUAUUUGAAGGUGGAUUUAAAUGUAAUUUUAUUUAAUUUAUUAAAAUGAUUAAAAAUUGAAAUAUGUACAUAUUGCCCGUCGCUUUCAUUAAUAAAUUGAAAUAAGUCGUAACAAAGUAGAUGUACUGGAAAGUGUUUCUAGAAAGAU
This 785-nucleotide non-coding RNA is filed under the name Papilio xuthus (Asian swallowtail). The record is from RNAcentral. Lineage: Eukaryota; Metazoa; Arthropoda; Insecta; Lepidoptera; Papilionidae.